GUCAGAUUAAUUUAACUGGUAAAAUUUGUGAUUUGUAAUCAUACUUUGUUUGUUCGACUCAGACAUCUGGCA
RNAcentral lists this transfer RNA (72 nucleotides) under Entomortierella parvispora. RNAcentral's name for it is "Mortierella parvispora tRNA". It matches the Rfam family "tRNA". From Rfam's summary of the family: Transfer RNA (tRNA) molecules are approximately 80 nucleotides in length. Their secondary structure includes four short double-helical elements and three loops (D, anti-codon, and T loops). Further hydrogen bonds mediate the characteristic L-shaped molecular structure. tRNAs have two regions of fundamental functional importance: the anti-codon, which is responsible for specific mRNA codon recognition, and the 3' end, to which the tRNAs corresponding amino acid is attached (by aminoacyl-tRNA synthetases). tRNAs cope with the degeneracy of the genetic code in two manners: having more than one tRNA (with a specific anti-codon) for a particular amino acid; and 'wobble' base-pairing, i.e. permitting non-standard base-pairing at the 3rd anti-codon position. Lineage: Eukaryota; Fungi; Mortierellomycota; Mortierellomycetes; Mortierellales; Mortierellaceae. The record is from Rfam by way of RNAcentral.